This 443-nucleotide ribosomal RNA is filed under the name uncultured bacterium. RNAcentral's name for it is "partial 16S ribosomal RNA". It matches the Rfam family "Bacterial small subunit ribosomal RNA", at positions 338 to 795 of the family's 1533-position model. The record is from RNAcentral.
CCUACGGGUGGCAGCAGUGGGGAAUAUUGGGCAAUGGGCGCGAGCCUGACCCAGCCACGCAGCGUGAAGGAAGAAGGCUUUCGGGUUUGAAACUUCUUUUCUCAGGGACGAAACAAGUGACAGUACCUGAGGAAUAAGCCACGGCUAACUACGUGCCAGCAGCCACGGUACUACGGAGGGGGCAAGCGUUAUCCGGAUUUACUGGGUGUAAAGGGCGUGUAGGCGGGACUGGAAGUCAGAUGUGAAAACCAUGGGCUCAACCUAUGGCCUGCAUUUGAAACUGUACUUCUUGAGUACUGGAGAGGUAGACGGAAUUCCUAGUGUAGCGGUGAAAUGCGUAGAUAUUAGGAGGAACACCAGUGGCGAAGGCGGCCUGCUGGACAGCAACUGACGCUGAGGCUCGAAAGCGUGGGGAGCAAACAGGAUUAGAUACCCCAGUAGUC